Molecule: non-coding RNA, 3838 nt
Organism: Podarcis lilfordi (Lilford's wall lizard)
Lineage: Eukaryota; Metazoa; Chordata; Lepidosauria; Squamata; Lacertidae
Source: the annotation of a GenBank genome assembly
CUCGGGGGCAGAUCUGUAGGGUCUGUUGUAGGAUAUGAGGUCCACAUUAUGAGUUUAUUCCCAGACUUCUCCCUCCUCCAGGUGUCUGUCGUCGAAAUGGCCAAACUUCCACCCAAGUUGUAUCCACCCCUCAAAUAUAUGAGAACGUUCUUCCAGCUGGACAGGUGAGUGACUCAGGGGGCCUCCAGAUGGUCGUUUGGGGUGAGAUGGGGCCACCUCAAGCAUGGCAAGCACUAGGCACCAACAGCAUCUAAAUGCCGUGCCAUCUCCACCCCACACCCCUUUGAUCUGGAUUUCCUCUUUUCAGGGGAAAUUCAAUAAGUUGAAAAAAACAAAACCCCUAUUGCCCACAAUCAACCUGUUUAUGUACCUGUCUAACCUCCAACACAUUUGGGGAUGGUAUGAUUGGAAAUUUGUAUCUGAUGUAGAAAUAUUUCAUCUUGCUUUCUCCUCCUGAACUGUGAAGAACUCUGGCGGACUUCAGUUCUCUGCCAGGAGCAUUAACGGAGGGUCGAUUAUUUUAUUUUAUUUUAUUAUUUAUUAUUUAUUAUUAUUAUUUUACUAACAACCAAAACACAAACAGUGAAAACAAACAGUGAAAACCCCCAGGCGGCUGAUGCAUUGGGUAUACAUAAUAAUAACAUAUUCAAAUCAGCCAUAUGUACAAUUCUAUAUACCUUAACACUCCUCCCUCCACAAGGUUUAUUUAACUUUUAGCAUUUUAAUUGCCCCAAAUUGUUCAAACCUACCCAAAUAAUUCAAUAUCUUCUCAAACCAAUCCUCUUCAUUCUAACAGAGGGUCGAUUAUAACCAGGCUCUGUUGGAGGAAAGAUGAUAACCUUGCGAGGAAGGCUGCCAUCAAACUAGUUUUCUUACGCUAUUGUUGCCAGUAUUAUGAUGGGUUUAGAAUGGAGCCGAUCCUCUCAAUUUUAAAGCAUUUACCUGGUAGACAAGAAACUAGCCUACUGCACAAAGGUGGAAUUUACAUUUCUCACUCCACCCAUUUUUACAUCUGGCUCCACCCACUACUGAUCUGCGGCCACUUAAAAUCUUCCUUUCCAAUCAAGCUGGGGAAAUUUUCCUUUCUCUUGUAGCAAACCAUGUGAAUGGAAAGGGCAGGAAUAUUAUUGGAAGGGAAACCCUUUUUGGUAAUUGAGACAGGAGCUCAGAUGAUCUUAGAAUAGGGUUUUGGGUAGAUGUAGAGUUGAGCAUGUUUUCUCUGUAUCAUGUUGGCAUUCUAUGUUAUCUGGAGUUGGAGACUGCAGUUAAAUUUUGCACCAGGUCUCUGGCCAUGUGAUUAAAAAUGAUUUGACCUAUUUAGAGUACAAAGUAUUGUGGGUUAAGAGGCACCCUCAAGCUUUUCCCGCUAUUGCAUGCUGUUUAACAUUUAUUUUUUGCAUCAGUGCUAACUUAGCUGACCUUGAGAGCAGAUGAGGGGUGCCAUUUCCAUGAUCCAGAGGAUUUAUGUUGUUGUUGUUGUUUAGUCGUUUAGUCGUGUCCUACUCUUCGUGACCUCAUGGACCAGAGAACGCCAGGCACUCCUGUCUUCCACUGCCUCCCGCAGUCUGGUCAAACUCAUGCUGGUAGCUUCGAGAACACAAUCCAACCAUCUCACCCUCUGUCGUCCCCUUCUCCUUGUACCCUCUAUCUUUCCCAACAUCAGGGUCUUUCCUAGGGAGUCUUCUCUUCUCAUGAGGUGGCCAAAGUAUUGGAGUCUCAGCUUCAGGAUCUGUCCUUCCAGUGAGCACUCAGGGCUGAUUUCCUUAAGAAUGGAUACGUUUGAUCUUCUUGCAGUCCAUGGGACUCUCAAGAGUCUCCUCCAGCACCAUAAUUCAAAAGCAUCAAUUCUUCGGCGAUCAGCCUUCUUUAUAGUCUAGAUUAAACAGUGGAGCACACAAAGGAAUGACAAAUUAAGUCACGAAGAUGCGAAAGGAAAGUAGGUUUAAAAACAAAACAAAAACAUAACUUUCUGUUUUCAUAAAAACACUCCCUGUUUCAGCAUCUGCUAAGGUGCCCCUAAAUGUGGGUCUUAAGAAAAUGGAACAGGCCAAGUUCAGCUGGCCACACAUUUGAAACUGGCCAUAAUAAUAUAAACUGAAUUGUCAGAAUUCUGCACUGACACACUGCAAGAACUGGGAAUCAGGGCUAAGGUGAGGUGCUCCCUUCAACAUAUUUUUGUCGUUGACCCAGGUUCAUCCUGAAAAUUCCUCCAGCGCUGCCAACACAUAUGAGGUGAGUCCUUUGUGCUUCAAAAUGUUUGGAAAUGCCAAAUAUGACCAAAUAUCUGUUACAGUGGUCCCUUGGUUCUCAAACGCCUUGGUACUCAAGCAACUUGGAACCCAAACACCGCAAACCCAGAAGUAAGUGUUCUGGUUUGCGAACAUUUUUCGGAAGCCGAGCGUGCUCCGUUUUGAGUGUUACACUUCUGAUUUGAGUGCCACACUUCCAUUUUGAGUGUUACGCUGAGGUCUGUCAGUUUUUGCUAUUUAUUUCACAUUUUUGAUUUUGCGGCUGUUUUGUUUUCUUUUUGUGACUGUGGAACGCAGUUCAGCUACUGACUGAUUGAUUGAUUAUGUGACUGCAGUACAUUGUUCACUGCUUUCAUUUUAUGGCUUAAUGGUCUCAUUAGAUAGUAAAAUUCAUGUUAAAUUGCUGUUUAAGGGAGUUGUUUUUAAAAGUCUGGAACGUCUUAAUCCAUUUUGCAUUACUUACUAUGGGAAAACCUGCCUUGGUUUUGGAAUGCUUUGGUUUGGGAAAAGACUUUGGUUUGAGAACCAAGGUACCACUGUAUUAACAAGAGCCCAUCAGCGGCUCUCACAAUUAACCCAGGGUUACAGACACAACUCAGAAAGCUGGCCUUAAGAUGGCCUCGUACAUUUUAGGGCCUCAUGGGCAAUUGUCUUCCUCAUGUACCUACCCAACAGAACAUAGAGAGUGGCCAAAUACCAAGUCACCUCUUUAGUCUAUCAAGCUGAGUACAGCCUACAUUGAAUGGCAGCUGCUCUCCCAGAUUUCAAGCAGGGAUCUCUCCCUCCAGAACAGAAAUGUAUGUACACCUAAAUGGCCAGCUGCAAAGGUGUGCAGGUCUCCUGAAGGGUUGUAGAGUCAGGUGGAAAUGGGUGUUUCAUCAAGUGAAGCUUUUCUCUGCUCACACUGCAAAAGAAGCCCUGAGGGAACUGGACCUGAAAUUCUUCCUUUGCAUGGAAUUCACAGUGGCGUGCCCUGUAUUCCGAAUUAUCCAAAUUCCAGGCAGAGGAUGCCCAGGUUCCCUGAAAGUAUAAACCACUUGCCUUAAAGACACUAGCUCUGAUUUCCGUCUCUUCUUACAGGCCAUACAGCUUCCAAGGAUAUAAAUACGUAAAUAAAUGUAUUCUUACACUGGCCAAGAAAACAAAUGAAAGCAAAGGUGGAUUUGACUCUGUGGCUUCCACCUGACCAUCUCCAUUUUCUCUUUAGACCUUGCAGCCCAGAAUCCCUUCUGUCUACGAAGAGAUAAAGAGAUAAGACAUGGACCAGCAAGUUCCUCUCCACUGCUGAGGCCUCUCCUGGGCCCUCAAGCCUCUUUCCUGAUCUGAUCUCUCCUUUCAGAUGGUGCUGAGUAAAUGCCGGGCAGGUCCUUCUGGAAAUCCUAGUCCUUGUUCUGAACAAAGGAAGCAGCCUUGGUCCCCAAGGGACUCUCACACUGGGAAAGACUUGCGGAUACUGAGACAGAGACACAAAGGAAACUCCUCCUGGAACAGCCAGGCAGAAAUCCUUGGAAUUGCAUCUUGUGUGACUAAAGGAUUAAUGCUGAGGGGGAAGAAAGAAAAGGGAAAUUCCUCAUGAAAAUUUGCCUGCA